CACGUUUUGAAGCUGGUCAGCAGCCUCUGUGCAACCACCUUCGGACUGCCUGUGCUGGGCUGUGCUGUUUAUGCAGGAAGAAGCACUCCCAGGAGAUUCCUGCAGAUAAGCAACAGGAAUGAUGGUGCCUCUUUAUUGCUGUGUGGAAUUGUGGCGUUUUCCAUGUGCUUCAAGGUUUCAGAUAACGAAUCUGGAGGCUGCUUGUGCUGCAUGCACUGCCUGACGUGGGACACCUCCAAGGGGAACCUCUUAGAAGGUACUUUCAUUACCUUCAUAUAGCUCUCACUUAGGUGGGGGCCAUGUUCUUGCACUGUGUAACAGGAGUCAAUUUCUGGUUGACCGAGGCUAUAUGUGGUGUCAGAACUUUGUGGGGUUGGUCUUCAUGGUGCUUUAACAGAAGAAUGACCAACGCCGAUUGAAAACAAGCAGGUGAAUUGAUGCACAUGCACAGACCUGCUAAAUUACCACUUUCAUAGAAAAGUACUGCACUUGGAUUGCCAGUUCCUCUGUAAACAUUCAUGACUGGUGAUAUUUUUUUAAAUAGAGUUUUGACUCUGCUACAGCAUUCUGUGUUGCCCAGCAGUGUAAGUAAUCUGUAUUUAAAAUCAUAUGACUUACAAAAAAAAAUAAAAUAAAAUAAUUGAAGGUUUUGAUGGGUUUU
RNAcentral lists this long non-coding RNA (661 nucleotides) under Anas platyrhynchos platyrhynchos (common mallard). RNAcentral describes it as "lncRNA (ENSAPLG00000027040.1)". The record is from RNAcentral. Lineage: Eukaryota; Metazoa; Chordata; Aves; Anseriformes; Anatidae.